ACUUAUCCACACUGAGUGUUCUGUCUUGGCCACAAGCUGCAGGACACAUAAUGAGGAAAGGAACACCACUCAAUUUAUCUUCUGGGUUGGCAAAGCUGCAUGGGUGAAGGCAGAGACAAAUCUCCUGGGAUGCUGCAGCUAUUGUGGGCUGUUGAAAGUGACAGUCCUUGGAGGAAAGGAGAACUUGCAACAUAAGGUGCCUGCAGCUUCCCUUGUGCCUUCACUGCAUACUGAGGACAGCCAAUGUGACUGGAGGGAAGAAUAAAGAGUCUUUUCUGGUGGU
Long non-coding RNA from Lonchura striata (white-rumped munia), 283 nucleotides. RefSeq lists it as uncharacterized. Lineage: Eukaryota; Metazoa; Chordata; Aves; Passeriformes; Estrildidae. The record is from RefSeq and is a predicted model, not a curated record.